GGCUCGAUGAGGACUUCUCAGAGGGAAGAUGCAGUUCGUGACCCUAACCGAGCUAACAGGGAAGGGGGUCUGUUCCGGUGAGCUGCCAACGCUGCUAGUCACAGCCCAGAAUCAAGAGAUUGAACCCAAAAUUCAGUGAGGGCGAGAAGUACGCCCGCCAGCAAAGAGUGGAGCUUGGAAGAGACUACGGGUUAUGGCUUCCCAUGAUCCUGCAAUCCUUGCUGCAACAAGGCUGAUGACUUCAGGUCAACCUGCAACUAGCUGUCAAUCGCCUAAAACUCCUGGAAAAAAGGAAAAUGGGUCACAUGAGCUGUUAAGCCCUCAAAAAACUGAAAAACCGAUGAUCUCUGAUUAUGAGGAG
Non-coding RNA from Leptonychotes weddellii (Weddell seal), 361 nucleotides. NCBI's taxonomy places the organism in Eukaryota, Metazoa, Chordata, Mammalia, Carnivora, Phocidae. The record is from RefSeq and is a predicted model, not a curated record.